This 253-nucleotide ribosomal RNA is filed under the name uncultured bacterium. Its description in RNAcentral is "partial 16S ribosomal RNA". It matches the Rfam family "Bacterial small subunit ribosomal RNA", at positions 524 to 776 of the family's 1533-position model. The record is from RNAcentral.
CACGGACCGCACGAACGUUAUUCGGUAUCACUGGGCUUAAAGGGUGCGUAGGCGGCUUGGCAAGCUGGGUGUGAAAGCCCUCGGCUCAACCGAGGAAUUGCGCUCAAUACUGCCGAGCUCGAGAGAGACGGAGGUAAGCGGAACUGAUGGUGGAGCGGUGAAAUGCGUUGAUAUCAUCAGGAACACCGGUGGCGAAGGCGGCUUACUGGGUCUUUUCUGACGCUGAGGCACGAAAGCGUGGGGAGCGAACAGG